AUUGAACGCUGGCGGCAGGCCUAACACAUGCAAGUCGAGCGGAUGAAGGGAGCUUGCUCCUGGAUUCAGCGGCGGACGGGUGAGUAAUGCCUAGGAAUCUGCCUGGUAGUGGGGGAUAACGUCCGGAAACGGGCGCUAAUACCGCAUACGUCCUGAGGGAGAAAGUGGGGGAUCUUCGGACCUCACGCUAUCAGAUGAGCCUAGGUCGGAUUAGCUAGUUGGUGGGGUAAGGGCCUACCAAGGCGACGAUCCGUAACUGGUCUGAGAGGAUGAUCGGUCACACUGGAACUGAGACACGGUCCAGACUCCUACGGGAGGCAGCAGUGGGGAAUAUUGGACAAUGGGCGAAAGCCUGAUCCAGCCAUGCCGCGUGUGUGAAGAAGGUCUUCGGAUUGUAAAGCACUUUAAGGUGGGAGGAAGGGCAGUAAGUUAAUACCUUGCUGUUUUGACGUUACCAACAGAAUAAGCACCGGCUAACUUCGUG
Molecule: ribosomal RNA, 484 nt
Filed under: uncultured bacterium
Lineage: Bacteria
Description: partial 16S ribosomal RNA
Rfam family: Bacterial small subunit ribosomal RNA
Source: RNAcentral